Podarcis lilfordi (Lilford's wall lizard) is the source of this 1114-nucleotide non-coding RNA. The record is from the annotation of a GenBank genome assembly. Lineage: Eukaryota; Metazoa; Chordata; Lepidosauria; Squamata; Lacertidae.
AUGACCUUCGUCCUCCCUAGUUGCGGGAUAAGUUGAACUCUUCAAGUAUAGAUAAAAAAUUAUUGUUCUUGAUUAAAUGUCUGUAUAAAAACACUGUGCUGAAAGUGUGUUGCUCUACAAAUGGGUAGCACACAGGAUCCUUACCAGCCACAAAGGGAGUUGAGCAAGGUUGUAUCCUAGCUCCCGCAUUGCUUAAUUUAUAUAUAAAUGAUAUUGUACAGAGUUAAACAUCUCCAGAGUAUCAUGCCCCUAAACUGGCCACAAAAGCCAUCUCUAUAUUAUUUUACGCAGAUGAUGUGGUACUUCUAUCUCAAGAUUAGGCCUAAAAAGACUGAUGAGGGCAUUCUCAGGAUACAAAUAAAUUGUUGUUGUUGUUGUUGUUGUUGUUGUUGUUGUUGUUGUUGUACUGUGCUGCCCAGGACUGUUUUUCAGGCUUGGAAAUGUACACAUGAGCCCAAAAGACUGCCGACCCCCUGCUUUAGAAACAUACAACAUUCACCAUAUUUGCUUUAGCAUAUUUUUCUGAAUGCUAGGAGGAUUUGUUUUCUUUCUUUCCAAUUCUUACUACCAUGCAUUUCAUGUGACUGUUCCAGAGUAAACAGUUUCAGGGCUUUGGCUAUAAAAUUGACAGAGCAGUCCUAAGCACAUUUACUUGAAUGUAAACCCAUUGGCUGCGAUAGCAUUUACUUCCUCGGAUGGAGGAACAAACUGUUCUGCAUUGUAUACUGAGGCGAUAAUUGUUAAGUGCACAGAUAUGGGAAAACAGACACUGUAUAAUUACAGACAACAUGUCACGCGAGAGACAGUAGGUUCCAUGGAAAAGUUCACCCUUUUUAAGAAAGUAAUAUAAUUCUAUGGCUUGCAAGGGCUGAAUUGCUUCCAUGGAGAUGAACAGACGUUUUGCUAUAAUCUUCAAGGAGGUUUUCCAAGAAAUCUCAACAACUAUUUUCUUUCAAAAAGGUCAACUGGAAGGUUGCAUUCAAUAGUAAUUAAGUGUCAGUCAUCUAUCUGGAAAUAGUAAUGACCUACAACAUUUUUACAGGUAGCUGGGGAAGCAGAAUUCUGAUGUUCAAACACGUAGAAGAAUUUAGUCAGAAGCAGAAACUUUCUCAAG